RNAcentral lists this ribosomal RNA (431 nucleotides) under uncultured bacterium. RNAcentral's name for it is "partial 16S ribosomal RNA". It matches the Rfam family "Bacterial small subunit ribosomal RNA", at positions 30 to 507 of the family's 1533-position model. The record is from RNAcentral.
CGAACGCUGGCGGCAGGCCUAACACAUGCACGUCGAACGAACUCUUCGGAGUUAGUGGCGGACGGGUGAGUAACACGUGGGAACGUGCCUUUUGGUUCGGAAUAACUCAGGGAAACUUGUGCUAAUACCGAAUGUGCCCUUCGGGGGAAAGAUUUAUCGCCAUUAGAGCGGCCCGCGUCUGAUUAGCUAGUUGGUGAGGUAACGGCUCACCAAGGCGACGAUCAGUAGCUGGUCUGAGAGGAUGACCAGCCACACUGGGACUGAGACACGGCCCAGACUCCUACGGGAGGCAGCAGUGGGGAAUCUUGCGCAAUGGGCGAAAGCCUGACGCAGCCAUGCCGCGUGAAUGAUGAAGGUCUUAGGAUUGUAAAAUUCUUUCACCGGGGACGAUAAUGACGGUACCCGGAGAAGAAGCCCCGGCUAACUUCGUG